Molecule: ribosomal RNA, 1468 nt
Filed under: uncultured bacterium
Lineage: Bacteria
Description: bacterial SSU rRNA
Rfam family: Bacterial small subunit ribosomal RNA
Source: RNAcentral
AUUGAACGCUGGCGGCAGGCCUAACACAUGCGAGUCGAACGGUAACAGGAAGAAGCUUGCUUCUUUGCUGACGAGUGGCGGACGGGUGAGUAAUGUCUGGGAAACUGCCUGAUGGAGGGGGAUAACUACUGGAAACGGUAGCUAAUACCGCAUAACGUCGCAAGACCAAAGAGGGGGACCUUCGGGCCUCUUGCCAUCGGAUGUGCCCAGAUGGGAUUAGCUUGUUGGUGGGGUAACGGCUCACCAAGGCGACGAUCCCUAGCUGGUCUGAGAGGAUGACCAGCCACACUGGAACUGAGACACGGUCCAGACUCCUACGGGAGGCAGCAGUGGGGAAUAUUGCACAAUGGGCGCAAGCCUGAUGCAGCCAUGCCGCGUGUAUGAAGAAGGCCUUCGGGUUGUAAAGUACUUUCAGCGGGGAGGAAGGGAGUAAAGUUAAUACCUUUGCUCAUUGACGUUACCCGCAGAAGAAGCACCGGCUAACUCCGUGCCAGCAGCCGCGGUAAUACGGAGGGUGCAAGCGUUAAUCGGAAUUACUGGGCGUAAAGCGCACGCAGGCGGUUUGUUAAGUCAGAUGUGAAAUCCCCGGGCUCAACCUGGGAACUGCAUCUGAUACUGGCAAGCUUGAGUCUCGUAGAGGGGGGUAGAAUUCCAGGUGUAGCGGUGAAAUGCGUAGAGAUCUGGAGGAAUACCGGUGGCGAAGGCGGCCCCCUGGACGAAGACUGACGCUCAGGUGCGAAAGCGUUGGGAGCAAACAGGAUUAGAUACCCUGGUAGUCCACGCCGUAAACGAUGUCGACUUGGAGGUUGUGCCCUUGAGGCGUGGCUUCCGGAGCUAACGCGUUAAGUCGACCGCCUGGGGAGUACGGCCGCAAGGUUAAAACUCAAAUGAAUUGACGGGGGCCCGCACAAGCGGUGGAGCAUGUGGUUUAAUUCGAUGCAACGCGAAGAACCUUACCUGGUCUUGACAUCCACGGAAGUUUUCAGAGAUGAGAAUGUGCCUUCGGGAACCGUGAGACAGGUGCUGCAUGGCUGUCGUCAGCUCGUGUUGUGAAAUGUUGGGUUAAGUCCCGCAACGAGCGCAACCCUUAUCCUUUGUUGCCAGCGGUCCGGCCGGGAACUCAAAGGAGACUGCCAGUGAUAAACUGGAGGAAGGUGGGGAUGACGUCAAGUCAUCAUGGCCCUUACGACCAGGGCUACACACGUGCUACAAUGGCGCAUACAAAGAGAAGCGACCUCGCGAGAGCAAGCGGACCUCAUAAAGUGCGUCGUAGUCCGGAUUGGAGUCUGCAACUCGACUCCAUGAAGUCGGAAUCGCUAGUAAUCGUGGAUCAGAAUGCCACGGUGAAUACGUUCCCGGGCCUUGUACACACCGCCCGUCACACCAUGGGAGUGGGUUGCAAAAGAAGUAGGUAGCUUAACCUUCGGGAGGGCGCUUACCACUUUGUGAUUUAUGACUGGGGUGAAGU